Molecule: transfer RNA, 360 nt
Filed under: uncultured Microcystis sp.
Lineage: Bacteria; Bacillati; Cyanobacteriota; Cyanophyceae; Chroococcales; Microcystaceae
Description: partial 16S-23S ribosomal RNA intergenic spacer
Rfam family: tRNA (bases 134-207)
Source: RNAcentral
AAAGGGAGACCUAAUUCAGGUAUAAGACGAAAAAAAAGUAGUCCCUACCAAGAAUCAAUCCCAAAAGGUCGGAACGAGGUAUGAGGCUUUCAAACUAGGUUCUGGGUUCAUAAAAGACCUGAAUCAGGAACAAGGGCUAUUAGCUCAGGUGGUUAGAGCGCACCCCUGAUAAGGGUGAGGUCCCUGGUUCGAGUCCAGGAUGGCCCACCUGCACAGGUGGCAAAAACAAGAGAAGCGAGGAAUCGGCACCUUAUCUUAUAUACAUAUAUAAGAGAGAAUGCUGGCUCUGAGUACAGAGUCCAGAGGAACCUUGAAAACUGCAUAGAGCUAGGUGAAAAAGCCAAAAAAGAAGACCGCAAG